CACUCCUGCGGGAGGCAGCAGUGGGGAAUAUUGGACAAUGGGCGCAAGCCUGAUCCAGCCAUGCCGCGUGAGUGAUGAAGGCCCUAGGGUUGUAAAGCUCUUUCACCGGUGAAGAUAAUGACGGUAACCGGAGAAGAAGCCCCGGCUAACUUCGUGCCAGCAGCCGCGGUAAUACGAAGGGGGCUAGCGUUGUUCGGAUUUACUGGGCGUAAAGCGCACGUAGGCGGACUAUUAAGUCAGGGGUGAAAUCCCGGGGCUCAACCCCGGAACUGCCUUUGAUACUGGUAGUCUUGAGUUCGAGAGAGGUGAGUGGAAUUCCGAGUGUAGAGGUGAAAUUCGUAGAUAUUCGGAGGAACACCAGUGGCGAAGGCGGCUCACUGGCUCGAUACUGACGCUGAGGUGCGAAAGCGUGGGGAGCAAACAGGAUUAGAUACCCGAGUAGUCCCAUG
This 449-nucleotide ribosomal RNA is filed under the name uncultured organism. RNAcentral's name for it is "partial 16S ribosomal RNA". It matches the Rfam family "Bacterial small subunit ribosomal RNA", at positions 334 to 799 of the family's 1533-position model. The record is from RNAcentral.